GGAUGUGAGGGAAAUCUGACUGUGACAUCUGUCACCCCAUUGUUCAUCAGUGUUGAUGUGGCUGAUCUGGCUAGCUAGGCAGUGUCCCCUUCCUCCCUCACUGCACCAUGUGUGUCCCUCCCAAAGCUGCACGCCGUUGGAAGAGUACGAGGAUCCCAUAUAGAAGGAGUGUACCGUUCUUUGGUCAAGAGUAUGUGACAGCUGUGCUCCCCUUCUAGAACCUCCGAACAAGCUCCAUUUGUAGGAGACAUAGGGUAGUCAAGCUGUCAAGACUCCAGACAACANCCAAGUAAGGCACUGCAUGUGGCACUCUGCCAUUCUUU
This 323-nucleotide small nuclear RNA is filed under the name Salvator merianae (Argentine black and white tegu). RNAcentral describes it as "7SK RNA (ENSSMRG00000003902.1)". It matches the Rfam family "7SK RNA". Rfam says of the family: 7SK was discovered as an abundant small nuclear RNA in the mid-70s but a possible function has only recently been suggested. The record is from RNAcentral. Lineage: Eukaryota; Metazoa; Chordata; Lepidosauria; Squamata; Teiidae.